RNAcentral lists this transfer RNA (77 nucleotides) under Thermococcus sp. Its description in RNAcentral is "tRNA-Val". It matches the Rfam family "tRNA". Rfam says of the family: Transfer RNA (tRNA) molecules are approximately 80 nucleotides in length. Their secondary structure includes four short double-helical elements and three loops (D, anti-codon, and T loops). RNAcentral also lists the same sequence under 32 other names. Lineage: Archaea; Methanobacteriati; Methanobacteriota; Thermococci; Thermococcales; Thermococcaceae. The record is from RNAcentral.
GGGCCCGUGGUCUAGAUGGUUAUGACGCCACCCUUACAAGGUGGAGGUCCGGGGUUCGAAUCCCCGCGGGCCCACCA